Carya illinoinensis is the source of this 613-nucleotide long non-coding RNA. RefSeq lists it as uncharacterized. The transcript is spliced from 2 exons. The record is from RefSeq and is a predicted model, not a curated record. NCBI's taxonomy places the organism in Eukaryota, Viridiplantae, Streptophyta, Magnoliopsida, Fagales, Juglandaceae.
AGGAACGUCGGCCUGAACAAAGGAUCUCCAAAGCAAAUUCAGUGUCAAAAUAACUCAUCAACUACGUACACGGCAUUGGAUUUGGUCAAAUAAUCCCUAUACAAUACACUGAUACAGUAAAGACUCAGACUCUUGACUCAAAACAGAACAAGAUGAAGGGUCUCUCAGAUUAAUCCCCGCCAUUGCCCGGCCAUUGGCGCAGUUGAUGACAAAGAAAAUGAAGAUAUCCUCUGUACUGAUCCGAGUGCUUUUCGUAGUCAUUCUCUUGUCUCCACUAACUCUUGGCAGUGCUUACAGGUUUAACAGGUUGGAAAGGGAUACAGAUCAGCUAAAGGUAAAUGGGAAAGAAAAUGACAGACCAAGGCCAUCGCCACCAUCACCCACCGGAGUGGAUCCAAAGGAGAGAAGCACUCCAUAAAGUGCAAGAAACAACCUUACAUAUACUCAUGAUGGGUUGCUUUCGUUUCGGGUUUUUCUUUCAAGUAUUGAUAUUUGUCCUUGUAUUUGUCUGUUUGCAUCAGUUCCUUGUAUGAUGCUUUGCAGAAAGAAUAUCACUACUGAUGUACUCCUGAGCAUGCGUAUCUCAACAAAAUAUUUUAGAAAAAUUCUAACA